This 318-nucleotide ribosomal RNA is filed under the name Bacillus siamensis. Its description in RNAcentral is "bacterial SSU rRNA". It matches the Rfam family "Bacterial small subunit ribosomal RNA", at positions 458 to 775 of the family's 1533-position model. The record is from RNAcentral. Lineage: Bacteria; Bacillati; Bacillota; Bacilli; Caryophanales; Bacillaceae.
AGGGCGGCACCUUGACGGUACCUAACCAGAAAGCCACGGCUAACUACGUGCCAGCAGCCGCGGUAAUACGUAGGUGGCAAGCGUUGUCCGGAAUUAUUGGGCGUAAAGGGCUCGCAGGCGGGUUCUUAAGUCUGAUGUGAAAGCCCCCGGCUCAACCGGGGAGGGUCAUUGGAAACUGGGGAACUUGAGUGCAGAAGAGGAGAGUGGAAUUCCACGUGUAGCGGUGAAAUGCGUAGAGAUGUGGAGGAACACCAGUGGCGAAGGCGACUCUCUGGUCUGUAACUGACGCUGAGGAGCGAAAGCGUGGGGAGCGAACAG